Molecule: transfer RNA, 65 nt
Filed under: Cryptonome barbada
Lineage: Eukaryota; Metazoa; Annelida; Polychaeta; Eunicida; Amphinomidae
Description: tRNA-Leu
Source: RNAcentral
CUAGUUUGGCAGACCAGUGCACUUGACUUAGGAUCAAUUUAGAGAGAACCCAACUCUAACUAGUA